AAAAUGUAGCUUAAUACAAAGCAUUUAGCUUACACCUAAAAGAUUUCAGAUUUCACUGACCAUUUUGA
Molecule: transfer RNA, 68 nt
Filed under: Pseudochirops archeri (green ringtail possum)
Lineage: Eukaryota; Metazoa; Chordata; Mammalia; Diprotodontia; Pseudocheiridae
Description: tRNA-Val
Rfam family: tRNA
About the family: Transfer RNA (tRNA) molecules are approximately 80 nucleotides in length. Their secondary structure includes four short double-helical elements and three loops (D, anti-codon, and T loops).
Source: RNAcentral